Molecule: transfer RNA, 73 nt
Filed under: Stegodyphus mimosarum
Lineage: Eukaryota; Metazoa; Arthropoda; Arachnida; Araneae; Eresidae
Rfam family: tRNA
About the family: Transfer RNA (tRNA) molecules are approximately 80 nucleotides in length. Their secondary structure includes four short double-helical elements and three loops (D, anti-codon, and T loops).
Source: Rfam by way of RNAcentral
GCCUUCGUGGUGUAAUGGUCAGCACACUGAGCCGGUAAUUCAGAAGUCCGCGGUUCGAUCCCCGGCGAAGGCG